AAGCUUUGCGGAUUGUCUUUUGCUCCAAGUUAUUUUUGGUGAUUUUUUUUUUUUAGUGGUUUUUCGGCGGAGCGCUAGUGGCACUAUACUUUCAGACAGGAUAUCCCGUCUUUCCUGCUAGAUUGAUGAGAUCGGGCAUC
RNAcentral lists this long non-coding RNA (140 nucleotides) under Spermophilus dauricus (Daurian ground squirrel). RNAcentral describes it as "Deleted in lymphocytic leukemia 2 conserved region 6 (ENSSDAG00000011766.1)". It matches the Rfam family "Deleted in lymphocytic leukemia 2 conserved region 6". Lineage: Eukaryota; Metazoa; Chordata; Mammalia; Rodentia; Sciuridae. The record is from RNAcentral.